This is a long non-coding RNA of Psammomys obesus (fat sand rat), 1017 nucleotides long. RefSeq lists it as uncharacterized. The record is from RefSeq and is a predicted model, not a curated record. The transcript has 2 exons. Lineage: Eukaryota; Metazoa; Chordata; Mammalia; Rodentia; Muridae.
GCCAGAGAGAGCCUGGAGGCCCAAGGCUGGGGUUCACGUCUGAAGAAGGGGAUUAGACACACAGGUGUGGGAUUUGGGGCGAUGGCAUGUGGGCGUGACUUUCUGAACAGGUUUGGAGCUCCCGGAAGGUCACUCACGGACAGAGGGUGCUCCUCGUGGACGACGGUUGACGCGGCGAUGGACGGAGGGGGGAGAAGAGGUUGUAGGAGCAGUGUGCUGGUUGCCGGGACUGGAAGUCAAGCGGAAACCCUGAAGGGCCAAGCAGGAGAAAAGGCCAAAGCGCCUUCGUCGGGAUUGCUGCUGGCCCCUGAGGGCAGGGCUUCGCUAACUGGGUUGUCUGCAGGUGACCCUAGCCUACCUGGAACUCACAGAGCUUGGCCUGCCUCUGCCUCCCGGAGUGCUGGGAUCAUAGGCUGCACCUCAGCCCAGCUUUGCUGAUUUAUUCUCGUUACUUAUGAGUGCUUCCCUGAAGAUAAAUCUGUGCACCACAUAUAUGCUGGCUCCCAUGGACCCUGGACCUGGAGCUGCACAUGGUUGUGAGCCUCAGACUCAGUAAACCUCAUAUCUGUGGUGGAUGUAAACAUGUUUUUGUUUUGGUCCCAGGUGUGGGAUGUGGGGCUGAUUCAGAUGGUCCACAGCAGCAGACUGUCUGCCUCCUGCCGGCUCUGAGAGGAGCUCUUUGCCAGCUGCAGAGAGUUUAAAUCUGAGGGUUCUGGAGAGAGAAUAAAUGCCAGAGCCCAGAGAGUGUGGAGCACCGAGAAAGAACACGGCUGCUUUCUGCUUUACUGCUGCAUCUCCUGGCUGCUGUUGUGAGACAAGAUGUUGGCGAUCUCCUGAAACACAGACUGGACUGGCUCAAGGAACCCAACGACCCUAACCAGCAGGAAGCAGCUAAGAGAACUAUGCCCCCUCUCCCACUCACCCUUUCUCUCUCCUACCUGAUGUUGGUUGGGGUGUUGGAAGGGAUGGGGGUGAAGAAAGAGAUGUAAGAAAUGUAAAUAAAAGUUUUUAAAAGUA